GGGCCCGCACAAGCGGUGGAGCAUGUGGUUUAAUUCGAUGCAACGCGAAGAACCUUACCUACACUUGACAUGCUGAGAAGUUACUAGAGAUAGUUUCGUGCCUUCGGGAACUCAGACACAGGUGCUGCAUGGCUGUCGUCAGCUCGUGUCGUGAGAUGUUGGGUUAAGUCCCGCAACGAGCGCAACCCUUGUCCUUAGUUGCCAGCCUUAAGUUGGGCACUCUAAGGAGACUGCCGGUGACAAACCGGAGGAAGUGGGGACGACGUCAAGUCAUCAUGGCCCUUACGUGUAGGGCUACACACGUGCUACAAUGGCAUUUACAGAGGGAAGCGAGACAGUGAUGUGAGCG
This 349-nucleotide ribosomal RNA is filed under the name uncultured bacterium. RNAcentral's name for it is "bacterial SSU rRNA". It matches the Rfam family "Bacterial small subunit ribosomal RNA", at positions 917 to 1269 of the family's 1533-position model. The record is from RNAcentral.